GACGAACGCUGGCGGCGUGCCUAACACAUGCAAGUCGAACGAUGAACCCGGAGCUUGCCCUGGGGGAUUAGUGGCGAACGGGUGAGUAACACGUGAGUAACCUGCCCUGGACUCUGGGAUAAGCGUUGGAAACGACGUCUAAUACCGGAUAGGACCUUGGAUCGCAUGAUCUGGGGUGGAAAGUUUUUUCGGUCUGGGAUGGACUCGCGGCCUAUCAGCUUGUUGGUGAGGUAAUGGCUCACCAAGGCGUCGACGGGUAGCCGGCCUGCGCGGGUGACCGGCCACACUGGGAAUGAGACACGGCGCAGACUCCUGCGAAUGGCAGCAGAGGGGAAUAUUGCUGACUGGGCGAAAGCCUGAUGCAGCUGCGCCGCGUGCGAGAUGACAGCCUUCGGGUUGUGAACCGCUUUUAGUGGGGGUGAAGGGCUUCGGCUUGACGGUACCUGCAGAAAAAGGACCGGCUAACUACGUG
This 472-nucleotide ribosomal RNA is filed under the name uncultured bacterium. Its description in RNAcentral is "partial 16S ribosomal RNA". It matches the Rfam family "Bacterial small subunit ribosomal RNA", at positions 28 to 507 of the family's 1533-position model. The record is from RNAcentral.